CGUGGAUAACCUACCUAUAAGACUGGGAUAACUUCGGGAAACCGGAGCUAAUACCGGAUAAGAUUUUGAACCGCAUGGUUCAAUAGUGAAAGACGGCCUUGCUGUCACUUAUAGAUGGAUCCGCGCCGUAUUAGCUAGUUGGUAAGGUAACGGCUUACCAAGGCAACGAUACGUAGCCGACCUGAGAGGGUGAUCGGCCACACUGGAACUGAGACACGGUCCAGACUCCUACGGGAGGCAGCAGUAGGGAAUCUUCCGCAAUGGGCGAAAGCCUGACGGAGCAACGCCGCGUGAGUGAUGAAGGUCUUCGGAUCGUAAAACUCUGUUAUCAGGGAAGAACAAACGUGUAAGUAACUGUGCACGUCUUGACGGUACCUGAUCAGAAAAGCCACGGCUAACUACGUGCCAGCAGCCGCGGUAAUACGUAGUGGCAAGCGUUAUCCGGAAUUAUUGGGCGUAAAGCGCGCGUAGGCGGUUUUUUAAGUCUGAUGUGAAAGCCCACGGCUC
Molecule: ribosomal RNA, 507 nt
Filed under: Staphylococcus pasteuri
Lineage: Bacteria; Bacillati; Bacillota; Bacilli; Caryophanales; Staphylococcaceae
Description: bacterial SSU rRNA
Rfam family: Bacterial small subunit ribosomal RNA
Source: RNAcentral